Molecule: long non-coding RNA, 285 nt
Organism: Peromyscus eremicus (cactus mouse)
Lineage: Eukaryota; Metazoa; Chordata; Mammalia; Rodentia; Cricetidae
Exons: 2
Source: RefSeq, a predicted model, not a curated record
CUGCCCUUUACGUUCCUCUCCAAGCCCCGUCCCACCACUCCUGGACAUUUGGUAACCUGCUGCAGACGUGCUGUGACAAUGGACGUUGAUGUAUUUUCAAAGUGCUUCAAGCGCUCUGUAUAAGUGCUAACGGGAAAGAGAAAGAAACCUUGCCCAUCAGAGAAGGAAGCAGCCAGCGUACAACGGAAAAUACAUGGAGGGCUGGCGGAGAAGUUUUAUCAUCAUAGUAGCAACUUCUUGAAUAAUGGAAUUUAAUAGCAUAUAAUAAACUGUGAUCCGAGAGAA